UUCCUGAUGGUCCAGUGGUUAGGACUCUGUACUUCUACUGUAGUGGGCACGGGUUCUAUCCCUGGUUGGGGAA
RNAcentral lists this transfer RNA (73 nucleotides) under Bos taurus (domestic cattle). It matches the Rfam family "tRNA". From Rfam's summary of the family: Transfer RNA (tRNA) molecules are approximately 80 nucleotides in length. Their secondary structure includes four short double-helical elements and three loops (D, anti-codon, and T loops). The record is from Rfam by way of RNAcentral. RNAcentral also lists the same sequence under 2 other names. Lineage: Eukaryota; Metazoa; Chordata; Mammalia; Artiodactyla; Bovidae.